RNAcentral lists this long non-coding RNA (2820 nucleotides) under Nilaparvata lugens (brown planthopper). RNAcentral's name for it is "uncharacterized LOC111054541, transcript variant X1". Lineage: Eukaryota; Metazoa; Arthropoda; Insecta; Hemiptera; Delphacidae. The record is from RNAcentral.
AUCGGUAUAAUUUCAAGUGUAAUUCGAUUUUUCAUUGGUUUAUUAGCAAUUAUUUCUUCAUAUAACUCCCACAAUAUGAUUCCAGUGACUUUGAAAUCAUUGCGUAAAAGUUUUACCAAAUUAACAACAAAAGUAAUAAAAAUAUAUUGGUCAAUCCAAAUGAGGUUCUCGUCCAAUUGUCCUAAAUCAAGGUGUAACGAGAAAGAGCGAGAGAGCGCAGUUUGGUUGUGGCGGGUACAUUGAUUGUUGGAGUAUGCAGCUUGGAUCAGUCUGUUUGUGUUGGAGACAGAAUGCAGCUUGCCAUACUGAUUCACUCCUGUCAUGGACCACAGCAUUCAAGUAUGGCACUUGACAGGGAUGAACCAGAUUGCUGGAGAUGGAGUGAUACAUGACAACAUUUCUGAGUGCAAUGCAUGGAUGCUGAUAUGAGCUGGAGGACAUCCUGAUGUGACUUGAGUAUAGACCAGAGCCUUCAAGUGUGGCUGUUGACAGCUGGUGGAGUUGGAGGGAGAUACAUACAUGGAUGAUGUGAGACCAAGAUGAUGUGAGCUGGGCGGGCAUCCUGAUGUCACUCGACCUUUCUGUCAUCACCCGAAGCCUCCAAGUAGGACAUGACAGUGAGCAGAGUGAGAAGGAGAGAGGAGGAGAGGAGAACAGCACGGCGAGCGAAGUGAGUUCUACUGAGAGGUUGCAUGAAGGAGGAUUUUGCUGACUGGGUUUUGCUGUUGCUAGAGUGAGAGAGAGAGAGCGGAGAGUGAGGGAGAUGGAGCGGAUGCUGUAUCAUCAGGAUAUGGAGCAGAGAGAGAGACACCAAAGGAGAAUGAUGGCCUGCUCAAACAGAACAGAGGGAGAAGGAAGAAGAAGCAGCAUAGAAGAAAAUUUAAGAAGAUAAACAGUGAACUAUUCAAUGAAAAGUGGAGUGCUUUAAUGAAAGUGGAUUAUUUAAUGAAGAAUGAAAAGGACUCGAGUUUACGUUCAUUCUAAAAGGACUCUGUGAAUUGAUUUAUGUUUUGUUGUUGAUAUUGUGCAUGUUUUGCUUUAAAUAAUAAAUGCUUGUGGGGUGGGUGUCCUUUUGGGGUUUUCAGGCAGCUGAACAGUGAAUUGAGUGAAAAGUGAACUGUGAACAGUUUGAAAACAAAUAGUGAACAUAUUGAAAGGACUCGAAUUAACUUUCAUUCUCAAAUGACUUUGAAUUAAUUUAUAUUUUGCUUGUUUUGUUGUUGAUAUGCGGGGUGGGGUGUCCUUUUGGGGUCUUUUCAGGCAUCGCGGAGGCAGCUGGACGGACGGACUACGCAGAACUUCAAUCAAGGUAAAAGUCAGCUCUCGACCGAUUUUAACAGUUCAAUCAAGUUUUUUUUUCUAAAUUAUCAUCUGAAAGUUUUAUAAUUCACCCUUUUUCCAGAUCUAAAUAAAUUUCUCAUAUUUCAGUCUAUUACUUAUAUUAAUUUUUACAUUUCUGAAUCUGUUUCAAUUCAUAUUAAAUGUCAUAUUAAAAUCUAGAAAGGAGUGAAUCAAUUUUUAAUUUACUUCUUUCUAGAUCUGAAUAAUUUUCUCUUAUUUCUGAAAGUGUUUGAAUUAAAAUUUAAAUGACAAAUUUUAAUCAUAAUUAUUGAUGUCUUGUUGAACUGUUCAGUUCGGUCCUGGGCGACUUGUGUGGAAUUGGUAAUACAUGUCUAGACCAUCACCCCUCGAGUUUUUUUCAGCUUUUAUACUUUCAAAUUUCAGUUGCUUUGGAGGAGAACAGAGAACCUUCAGUUCGAACUCAAGUCGAUAAGGGAGUUUUUUUUUAGUUAGUUAUCUUUUGUUUUAUUUAACUUACCCCUGCUCCUUAUUUUUUUUCAGUUCUUUAUUUUUUGUUGCUUUGGAGGCGAACCUUCAGUUCAAAUUCAAUAUCAAAGUAUAUGUCGGUCGAUAAGGGUUGUUUUGUUUAGUUUGUUUCUUUUAAUUUCUUCAAAACUGUUCCCGAUUUUAUAUCUAGUUUGGGAUUUUCUUCAGUUCUUUUUUCUUUCUUGUAUACUAUCCCCAUCUACUUAGAAUUUCUUGAAUAUUAUUUUAAUAGUUAAAUUUAAUUUUAUUGUAAAUUUCUGGGUUGCUGCCACACUGUUUGCUUUUUUUUCAGGAGAUCGUCGUCAUCAUUUCUUUGUUUAUUGUUUUUGUGUUUGUUGUGUGUUGUUGCAUCUCUCAAAAUAUUGUUAGUGAACUAUAUUCAAUUCUAUUGUAAUAUUUGUAUACAUUGUAAAGUGUAAUUAGUAUGUACUCCCUUCCUUCUCAUUGCACCAUCCAUUCAUAUUUUUCAACUUCAAUUCACUCUAUUUCCUCUUUCUUUUUUCUCAACUUACUUCUUGUCUUCCCAAUAAUUCAAAACCUGUAGGUCCACUCAUCUCUCAUCAUUAUCCAUUCUAUUACCCACGCACAAGCCUAGAGCUCAUGUGGGCAUUAUCAUCCACCAUCCAAUUCAUUUCUUUCAAAAACUGUCAUUAUAAAUUACUCAAUUGUUUUACUAUCUCUGGCCACCUUUCGCAUAAACUAAUCUUUCCCUCAAUUUACAAAUCCAUUACUCUCAAAUUGUAAACCCCUAAAUCUAAUUAAUAUCAAAAUUAAGUUCCCAAUCUUCAGUGUAACCUGAAUCCUAGGCUCAACUUACACUACACUUACGCGAUUCAGGUCAAGGAGAGACUCGACUCUAGUCGAGAGCAUGUGUUUCCUAAUGGUGACACUCAGACCAGUUGAUUCUAGUCUCCGCAACUGUCAUCAUUUGAAAACACAUGCUCCUGACUAGAGUCGAGUCUCUUCUCGACCUGUGUCGCAUAAGUGUGAGUU